UGGAGGUAAUGACAGCCUCUGUCUACUUUG
RNAcentral lists this non-coding RNA (30 nucleotides) under Mus musculus (house mouse). Lineage: Eukaryota; Metazoa; Chordata; Mammalia; Rodentia; Muridae. The record is from RNAcentral.